RNAcentral lists this ribosomal RNA (460 nucleotides) under uncultured bacterium. Its description in RNAcentral is "partial 16S ribosomal RNA". It matches the Rfam family "Bacterial small subunit ribosomal RNA", at positions 338 to 795 of the family's 1533-position model. The record is from RNAcentral.
CCUACGGGUGGCAGCAGUGAGGAAUAUUGGUCAAUGGACGCAAGUCUGAACCAGCCAUGCCGCGUGCAGGAUGACGGCUCUAUGAGUUGUAAACUGCUUUUGUACGAGGGUAAACCCCGAUACGUGUAUCGGGUUGAAAGUAUCGUACGAAUAAGGAUCGGCUAACUCCGUGCCAGCAGCCGCGGUAAUACGGAGGAUCCGAGCGUUAUCCGGAUUUAUUGGGUUUAAAGGGUGCGUAGGCGGUUUGAUAAGUUAGUGGUGAAAUUUCGGGGCUCAACCCCGAAACUGCGUGUAAUACUGUUAGACUAGAGAAUAGUUGCGGUAGGCGGAAUGUAUGGUGUAGCGGUGAAAUGCUUAGAGAUCAUAAAGAACCCCGAUUGCGAAGGCAGCUUACCAAACUAUAUCUGACGUUGAGGCACGAAAGCGUGGGUAGCAAACAGGAUUAGAUACCCCGGUAGUC